UAGGCGGCCACAAUCCAGUCGUUCCCGUCGGGCCAGUUGUGAGAGGGCAGAGGUAGGAGCAGGUGAAAGCCACAGAAGGGAGGGAGGAAGGGACACAGCCGGCCGGCGAGAAAGCGAACACAAAGCCAAGAUGACCGUCUGACGCUAAAUGGAUGCAAUCGCACUGAGAUGACUCGGCAAAGACCCACCCUAUUGCCGACCGCCUCCCCAAACAUAACGUGCACCCCUACGGAGACACUCUCAUCAGCAAUGAAGGCAGGCUCGGUGCAGUCUCGUGAUGCUGGGGAUGUGAGCGUUAUGGAGCCUGAUGUCCACGUUGAGAACCCAGCAGACGUCAGUUUUUACCACAAGGUUUCACCGCACAAUGUCAAGUUCUACACAUAUGGCCAUAAGAUGCAGACAAGACAGAAAGUUGUGAGCAACUAUUCAACAGUGACUAAGGGAUCAUCAACAGCAGCCAAACCCAGAGCUGCGCUCAAACAAGUUUUUCUCAACCAGGGAGUGUCUGACAGGAACCUAACAGCAGAGCUGGACGUGCUGAAGCAGGAGCUGGAGGCCUUCGCGGUGCCCGUCAGCCUCAAGUGGCGAUGGAGAGAGGAGCGCUGUGGAAGCACGCUGGAGAGGAACUGGACUGACAUUGUGAAAUCUCACUCUCUCAUGUCUCGGGUGCAGAGGCACCAGCAGGAAGCCAUGUGGGAGUUUGUGCACACCGAACUCAACUACAUCAACAGACUUAUUAUCAUCAAAGACUUGGUUAUUGCAGCUCUGGUGAACCUGCACCUUCGUGGCUUCCUCCAGGAGGUGACCCCCGAGCUGCUUUUCUCCAACCUUUCUACCAUCCUCAGCGCACACCAGCUGUUCUGGCAGGAAGUGAUUUACCCCAUGUUACAGGAAGUGCGCUCGACAGGCAAGCCCUUUAACCCAAUAUGGUUGGAGACGGGCUGCCUCCAGUUCCGUGAACGCUUCUCACCGUACUGCCAUUACUGUGCAGAAGAGGAAAACAGCUUUGAGUUUGCACGCCAACAAAUGGAGAGCAACCCACAUUUCUUCACAUAUGUGCAGUGGGUGGAGACCCACCCGCAGUGCACACGGAUGCGCAUUGGGGACAUGCAGGCCAAACCCCACCAGAGGAUCACCAAGUACUCCCUCCUUCUCAAGGCAGUGCUCAAGACCACCCAGGACCCACGUGUGCAGCGCAGCCUGAGAAACAUGAUAUCCAGCAUCAACAAUUUUCUGGAGAGCAUCAAUGAAUAUCUGAGGCUGAAGGACGAGGAGGUGGCGCUGUCCAUUUCUGCUCAGAGACUGGAGGGCUACGAGCUGGAGGGAAUAAAUGAGGAAAUUGACAAGCACGUACGAGAGAUCUGCCAGUUCGACCUGACGUGCCCCAUCAGAGGGGUCGGUCGUGGGGUCGUACGUAAGCUGCUCUUGGAGGAGAACCUAAAGAUCCGCGGCAGAAAAGACAGCAAACUGGAGGUGGUGGCGCUUCUAUUCUCCGAUGUGCUUCUCAUGACCAAAGUGCAGAAGAAAGUAGAGCGACUGAAAGUGGUUCGGCCUCCUCUGGCCCUCGACAGAACGUACUGCAUUGCGCUGAAGGAUAGCUGUUCGUUUCUUCUGGUGGAGGUGGGGGAGCUUUGGUGUCCUGUCAAUGUCUACAUAUUUACAGCCAGCACCUCUGAAAGCUGCUCCACUUGGGUGUCGGCCAUUCAUCAGGCAAAGGUAACACUGAGGAACUUGCGGGAGGCUGAGAGUAGACAGUCUGAGGCAAAAGAAAGAUCUGCACUUGUUGACGGAGCACGUGACUCAAAGAUAAAAGAACAAGCUCUUAUCUCUGAAAAAGAGGCUUUUGUGGAGGACCCCGCCCUUGAACGCAUCGUUACUCAGUUGGUAAAUGGUGGUCAUGCAUUUAAAGAAAAUCCCAACAAUCAUGUUGAAGACAAUGGCUGGAGCGAAGGAGGAGAAGAAAGUGGGAGUCAGUUCUCAACAAAUGCUUGGAAACACAUGGGUCUAUCUGUUGCUAAUAUGAACCAAGAUCACAUGUCUGUAGAUGUCAUGGAUCAAUUGCGGCGCAUCACCCCCAGAUUGAAUACUGUGGUUCCAGGUGGCUAUCCGGCUGUUGACUACCCGACAGAGGAACUGAACACCUCACGGAUUGCUCAAACUGGUCAAACACAACCAUCCAAGAAGGAGGCAGAGUUAGCGGGAGAUGCCAGGAUACUGACUUCACAACCUAUUAAUCAUUCCACGGUGGAAAAACACAAUCCUGCACAGUUGGGAGGCUCAGCGUCACAUCCUGAGACCAAAGGGUUCCCAAGAGCUCUCAAGUCUCCCAUGUCACGAAAGAGGAGGACGGACACUGGCCACCAAGGCCCCUCAGCUCAGACGGUGCAUGGUUCAGGGUGGUCGGAAUCCAACAACUCUUCCUCCAACUCUGACUCUGACUGCAGCGUAAAUACGAAGAGUUCAAAAUCUCACAUUGUGCUGAAGCUGAGUGCUCUGAAGCCAACCCGGGGGACGUUUUGGAUUAACGAUGUCAGAGUGUCGCCGGAGACUGAAAUCUUUUCUGAACCUGAAAUGAUGGAUCUUAACGUUAACAAUAAAAAGCUCAGACUGAAAGCCCAGAGGAGUGCUUCCAUUCAUAACGUGGCUACACAACAGGAGCAAAGGUUUCUCUAUCUGGACCGCUCUACUGACAUGUCUGCUUCUCCCGCAUCUCUGGAGAAUCUUCUGCAGAGAGCCAAAGUUAGAGAAAGAGACUGGGAAACUGCAAAGAGCAACAAAAACGUGCAACUGGCCAAUUUAAAGCCGAAGCACUGUCCUACUCCGUCUCCAUUGACGUCAAGCUCGCCAUCGCAGUCCCAGAGUGACGGAGACCGAGACGCGGAGUGGGAGGACGAGGUGCAGCUGCAGAGGCACCGGGCCCUCAGGGUGAGUCAAGGAUGGAGGGAGCAGCUGGUGGAUGGAGGUGGCGACAACAAGCUGGACAGUCCUCUCUUUACAAAUGGCGAGAAUGUGGAUUGGACCGGUUGGUGCUUUGACGACGAGGAGGUGAUGGACUAUUUGCAUCCAGGAGCUGAAGGACUCCUCGAGUACAUCAAUCAGUCUUUGACUCUCUGUGAAAUUUCCGACCAGGAAGACGACCUGUGCAGUCGAGUGGAGGAUUUCCGUGGCGUGCAUUGUGCAAAACAACAUCGGUUUGGCUAAGGACCCCCGAAAAUGGCACCUACGAAGAGACACGCUUACAAAGCACAGUUUAAACUGCAAGCUAUCAGUUAUGCGGAGGAACACGGGAAUCGAGCAGCCGCGAGACAAUUCAAGAUCAACGAAUCCAUGGUUCGCAAGUGGAGGAAGGAGGAAAACGCCGGCAUCAUUGCUCAAUAGGACCGCGGCAACGAAACUGAAUCCGACAAUGACGAGAGGGAACCCGGCAUGUUUGAUGGAGAACUUGCCCAGCUGUUCAUUUCGGAUAGAGAACAUGAGGACUUUGGUGGAUUUGUAGAUGAGGAUUGAUCAAAAAAUAACGCGUCCUUCUGUGCCGUAAAACUGACACACCCAUUCGCCCCCGUCCUCGUGGGACACCUCGCUUACGCGGAGAGUCUUUCCCUCCUGGAUGGACUUCACCAAGCGGGUGCCGCUGAGGUCGUAGGUAACGUGGACCCACUGGUAGCGGGUGACCUCACUCGUGUCCGUCAGCUGACAGGUCAGUGUGACCGUUUCCUUCCGUGUGAUGCUGCGAUCAACUGUGGACACACAAGUUGAUUAGAUUGGAUUUAUCCUGAAAGACAACAACAAAGAGGAUCAUGCAACUCACUUUUAGCCACAAUCAGCUGCACUUUCCGAGACAGGCUUUGUCCUUCAACAACCCCGGCACAUAUGUACGUUCCGUCAUCCUCGAGACCAAUUUCUUUUAAACCGGCCGAAUGGUCCCAAGUAGGCCGAUAAGUAGGGGAGAAAGAGCAGAAGGAGGGAGGAAGGGGAUCAGAACCUGGUUUCGAGAGAGAGUCAGGCUUGAGUUUCUGCCAGGUGGCCUCAGACGGGUUUAAACCGGUGGAGAACACGCAGGGGAGCGUGGCUGCAGAUCCCGCCGCCGCGUAGACCUUUGUGUCAUCUCUGGAUGGAUGGAUGAUUCCUACAAUAGGAGGGGAACUUUAAAAUAAUGGUCAUCUUUUAUGGAGUAUAGUAAUCCCUCACGUUUCGCUAUUCGAGAAUUCACCUUUUUGUGUAUUUUUAUUUUUACAAAUCAUCAGUAAGCCGUUUAUUUUUUUAUGGUCACGUAAGAUGAGUUUGAAAUGAUCACAGUUUGUAAUAUAAUACAGUCAGUAAUAUUAUUUGUUUUUCACAGAGGAUAAAAAUGUAUGCCUGUAUUGUUAUAUUGUCUGUCUAUAUGUGUUGCUGCACCAUUUGUGCGCAAAUAUCCAUUGCUUACAGUGUUAUGAUUACCGCAACAUUGAUGCUAGUUUAGUUCGCCCAUCCAUGGUGUUUUGCAUUGUGUGUUAGCAUUACGUAGCGGACUUUUGUCAGGCAAAAUAAGGUGGUUUGUUGAAAUACACAAGAUGCAAUUCUCUUUGUUGUAUGUUUAGUUUUCCAGUAAACCUCAACUGAGUGGGAAUAAACGACUUCCGGCCUCUUU
Phyllopteryx taeniolatus (common seadragon) is the source of this 4627-nucleotide RNA transcript. It is a transcript of the gene named pleckstrin homology domain containing, family G (with RhoGef domain) member 6, with no coding region annotated. The transcript is spliced from 17 exons. NCBI's taxonomy places the organism in Eukaryota, Metazoa, Chordata, Actinopteri, Syngnathiformes, Syngnathidae. The record is from RefSeq and is a predicted model, not a curated record.